Molecule: ribosomal RNA, 1314 nt
Filed under: Lycoriella inflata
Lineage: Eukaryota; Metazoa; Arthropoda; Insecta; Diptera; Sciaridae
Description: eukaryotic LSU rRNA
Rfam family: Eukaryotic large subunit ribosomal RNA
Source: RNAcentral
GUGUGCGAGUCAUUGGGUAUUUUGUUGAAACCUAAGGGCGUAAUUAAAAUAACUAUUUUAUGGGAUUACAAGUGAAUUAAAUUUCAUUUCUUCAUCCCGGGGCGUUCUAUACGAACAUGGUGCAAGCAAUUGAACCCUCUGUUCAAGAGCGUACCUUGAGCAUACAUGCUGUGACCCGAAAGAUGGUGAACUAUACCUGAUCAGAUCGAAGCCAGGAGAAAUUCUGGUGGAGGAUCGAAACAGUUCUGACGUGCAAAUCGAUUGUCAGAAUUGGGUAUAGGGGCGAAAGACCAAUCGAACCAUCUAGUAGCUGGUUCCCUCCGAAGUUUCCCUCAGGAUAGCUGGCGCAAAGAAUUAUAUUGUAUAUAAUCUUAUCUGGUAAAGCGAAUGAUUAGAGGCCUUGGGGCCGAAACGACCUCAACCUAUUCUCAAACUUUAAAUGGGUAAGAACCUCAUCUUUCUUGAUCUGAAGAUAUUGGGGUUUAGAUAUAUUGUGCCCAGUGGGCCACUUUUGGUAAGCAGAACUGGCGCUGUGGGAUGAACCAAACAUGAUGUUACGGCGCCUAAAUUAAUGACUCAUAUUGAUACCAUGAAAGGCGUUGGUUGCUUAAAACAGCAGGACGGUGGACAUGGAAGUCGUAAUCCGCUAAGGAGUGUGUAACAACUCACCUGCCGAAGCAACUAGCCCUUAAAAUGGAUGGCGCUCAAGUCAUAUGCCUAUACAUCAUCGCUAGAAUAAAAUUUGUUGACCAUUCGGUCAUCAAUAUGAAAUUCUAGUGAGUAGGAGGGUACAAUGGUGUGCGCAGAAGUGUUUGGCGUGAGCCUGCAUGAAGCCGCCAUUGGCACAGAUCUUGGUGGUAGUAGCAAAUAAUCGAAUGAGAUCUUGGAGGACUGAAGUGGAGAAGGGUUUCGUGUGAACAGUGGUUGAUCACGAGUUAGUCGGUCCUAAGCUUUAUGCGAAAGCUGUUUAAUUUAUGUUACACACAAUAUUUUUGUUGUACAUAAUUCAAUAAAAGCGAAAGGGAAUACGGUUCCAAUUCCGUAACCUGUUGAGUAUACGUUUGUUUAUUAAAAAUGGGUCUUAUUACACUCAUCCUGGCAACAGGAACGACCAUAGAGAAGCCUUCGAGAGAUACUGGAAGAGUUUUCUUUUCUGCUAAACAAACGUAUCACCAUGGAAGUCUUUUAUAGAGAGAUAUGGUGGAUGGCUUGGAAGAGCAUGACAUUUACUGUUGUGUCAGUAUUUUCUCCUUGGACCUUGAAAAUCUAUGGUGGGGCCACGCAAACUUCUCAACAGACCGUACCGAUAUCCGC